AUUAUACCCAAACUUAGGAGAAAACACAUAUAUACAAUUUGGAAUUUAAAAAUAAAUAUGAGAUCAGAUAUCAUUACUUUGGUGCGGAUAGAUAUUCACCACUUUUGAUAAUCAUAGAUUCGUAGAUGCUCGAGUCACACACGUGUCCGACCUCUGUGGAUAUCCAUCGGGAUCAAUCUCGAACUGAUUUUUCCUCGUAGAAGACUCUUCUUCCUAAGAAGAAUCUUAACCUUAUGUACUUUGAUCAACACCUUGAUCUGGACUGUGAGAUCAACUCCUUAAUCAGCAGCCUUCUUCUUCUUCUCCUUGAUCUUCACUCUUGAAGAUAAAGCAGCACCUCUUGGCAUGUGGAAAAAGGGGACACCCAACUCUUAGGUAUGGAAGAUAAGAGAGGGGGGAGAGG
RNAcentral lists this long non-coding RNA (403 nucleotides) under Elaeis guineensis (African oil palm). RNAcentral describes it as "long non-coding RNA (EGUI_LNC071605)". Lineage: Eukaryota; Viridiplantae; Streptophyta; Magnoliopsida; Arecales; Arecaceae. The record is from RNAcentral.